UACGUAGGGCGCAAGCGUUAUCCGGAAUUAUUGGGCGUAAAGAGCUCGUAGGCGGUUUGUCGCGUCGAAUGUGAAAACCCGGGGCUCAACCCCGGGCCUGCAUUCGAUACGGGCAGACUAGAGUUCGGUAGGGGAGUCUGGAAUUCCUGGUGUAGCGGUGAAAUGCGCAGAUAUCAGGAGGAACACCGGUGGCGAAGGCGGGUCUCUGGGCAGUAACUGACGCUGAGGAGCGAAAGCGUGGGGGAGCGAACAGG
Molecule: ribosomal RNA, 254 nt
Filed under: uncultured bacterium
Lineage: Bacteria
Description: partial 16S ribosomal RNA
Rfam family: Bacterial small subunit ribosomal RNA
Source: RNAcentral